This 301-nucleotide ribosomal RNA is filed under the name uncultured bacterium. Its description in RNAcentral is "partial 16S ribosomal RNA". It matches the Rfam family "Bacterial small subunit ribosomal RNA", at positions 509 to 808 of the family's 1533-position model. The record is from RNAcentral.
CAGUCGCCGCGGUAAUACGUAGGGUGCAAGCGUUAAUCGGAAUUACUGGGCGUAAAGCGUGCGCAGGCGGUUAUAUAAGACAGAUGUGAAAUCCCCGGGCUCAACCUGGGAACUGCAUUUGUGACUGUAUAGCUAGAGUACGGCAGAGGGGGAUGGAAUUCCGCGUGUAGCAGUGAAAUGCGUAGAUAUGCGGAGGAACACCGAUGGCGAAGGCAAUCCCCUGGGCCUGUACUGACGCUCAUGCACGAAAGCGUGGGGAGCAAACAGGAUUAGAUACCCCCCGUAGUCCCUGUCUCUUAUU